RNAcentral lists this ribosomal RNA (365 nucleotides) under Epidalea calamita (natterjack toad). Its description in RNAcentral is "partial 12S ribosomal RNA". It matches the Rfam family "Bacterial small subunit ribosomal RNA", at positions 870 to 1403 of the family's 1533-position model. The record is from RNAcentral. Lineage: Eukaryota; Metazoa; Chordata; Amphibia; Anura; Bufonidae.
CGCCAGGGAACUACGAGCAAAGCUUAAAACCCAAAGGACUUGACGGUACCCCAUAUCCCCCUAGAGGAGCCUGUCCUAUAAUCGAUAAUCCACGUUUAACCUCACCAUUUCUAGUUUAUCAGCCUGUAUACCUCCGUCGUCAGCUUACCACGUGAGCGCCUAUUAGUGAGCUUAAUGUUAUUUCACCAACACGUCAGGUCAAGGUGCAGCAAAUGAAGUGGGAAGAGAUGGGCUACACUUUCUAUAUUAGAAGAAACGAAAAACUAUUUAUGAAAACUAGUUGGAAGGCGGAUUUAGCAGUAAAAAGGAAUCAGCAUGUCCAUUUUAACCCGGCACUGGGGUGUGUACACACCGCCCGUCACCCU